UAUGUAGGGGGCUAGCGUUGUCCGGAUUUAUUGGGCGUAAAGAGCGUGUAGGCGGCCAGGUAGGUCGGUUGUGAAAACUGGAGGCUCAACCUUCAGAGGUCGACCGAAACCAUCUGGCUAGAGUCCGGGAGAGGAGAGUGGAAUUCCUGGUGUAGCGGUGAAAUGCGUAGAUAUCAGGAGGAACACCGGUGGUGUAGACGGCUUUCUGGACCGUAACUGACGCUGAGACACGAAAAGCGUGGGUAGCAAACAGG
This 254-nucleotide ribosomal RNA is filed under the name uncultured bacterium. RNAcentral's name for it is "partial 16S ribosomal RNA". It matches the Rfam family "Bacterial small subunit ribosomal RNA", at positions 524 to 776 of the family's 1533-position model. The record is from RNAcentral.